UAGAGUUUGAUCCCUGGCUCAGGACGAACGCUGGCGGCGUGCCUAACACAUGCAAGUCAAGGAGAAAAGGAAUCUUCGGAAUCCUUAGUAAACUGGCGAACGGGUGAGUAACACGUAGGCAACCUACCCAUAGGACUGGGAUAACCUUGCUAACGCGGGGCUAAUACCGGAUAACAUUUUUCUGUCGCAUGAUAGAAAAAUCAAAGUUGCUUUCGAGUAGUACCUAUGGAUGGACCUGCGUCCCAUUAGCUAGUUGGUAGGGUAAAAGCCUACCAAGGCGACGAUGGGUAGCCGGCCUGAGAGGGUGAACGGCCACACUGGGACUGAGAUACGGCCCAGACUCCUACGGGAGGCAGCAGUGAGGAAUAUUGCGCAAUGGGCGGAAGCCUGACGCAGCAACGCCGCGUGGAUGAUGAAGCUUCUAAGGAGCGUAAAGUCCUGUUAGAAGGGAAGAACAGUGUUUAUUCGAUGAGGAAAAUAUUGCGGACCUCA
RNAcentral lists this ribosomal RNA (492 nucleotides) under uncultured bacterium. RNAcentral describes it as "bacterial SSU rRNA". It matches the Rfam family "Bacterial small subunit ribosomal RNA", at positions 1 to 477 of the family's 1533-position model. The record is from RNAcentral.